AUCACCGCAACACCAAACAGGUGGAAGAGCUCUUACUGCAGUGGUCUCCAUGACAACCCUGGAACUUCAACUUUGAGAAACACGGCUUUCAAAUCAUCCCCGUCGUGAAGUUAGAAACCGCUAGGGCACAGAACAUCUCAUUGCUUCUUGCCUGGGAUCAAAAAUCUGAGUUGAAAAUGCCUUCCAAUGAAAGCUUUCAGGAAACAUCUCUUCCAGCAUCUUCAGUCCUGAGGAAUCUCAUAAAUUGGGGUAAAACCUACAAGGCUGAAACCUAUUAAAAGUGUGCCGUGAACCUGA
Molecule: long non-coding RNA, 297 nt
Organism: Ornithorhynchus anatinus (platypus)
Lineage: Eukaryota; Metazoa; Chordata; Mammalia; Monotremata; Ornithorhynchidae
Exons: 2
Source: RefSeq, a predicted model, not a curated record